GCUGGUGUAGCACAGUCGGUAGUGCAUCUGAUUCGUAAUCAGAAGGUCACGUGUUCAAGUCACGCCACCAGCUCCA
Molecule: transfer RNA, 76 nt
Filed under: Oscillospiraceae bacterium
Lineage: Bacteria; Bacillati; Bacillota; Clostridia; Eubacteriales; Oscillospiraceae
Description: tRNA-Thr
Rfam family: tRNA
About the family: Transfer RNA (tRNA) molecules are approximately 80 nucleotides in length. Their secondary structure includes four short double-helical elements and three loops (D, anti-codon, and T loops).
Source: RNAcentral